Molecule: ribosomal RNA, 481 nt
Filed under: Hymenoscyphus fraxineus
Lineage: Eukaryota; Fungi; Ascomycota; Leotiomycetes; Helotiales; Helotiaceae
Description: eukaryotic LSU rRNA
Rfam family: 5.8S ribosomal RNA (bases 165-318)
Source: RNAcentral
CAUUACAGAGUUCCUGCCCUCACGGGUAGAAACCCCACCCUUGUGUAUAUCAUAUUGUUGCUUUAGCAGGUCGCCCUCUGGGGCGUCGGCCUCGGCUGACUGUGCCUGCUAGAGGACCCUAAACUUUGAAAUACAGUGUCGUCUGAGUACUAUUUAAUAGUUAAAACUUUCAACAACGGAUCUCUUGGUUCUGGCAUCGAUGAAGAACGCAGCGAAAUGCGAUAAGUAAUGUGAAUUGCAGAAUUCAGUGAAUCAUCGAAUCUUUGAACGCACAUUGCGCCCCUUGGUAUUCCGGGGGGCAUGCCUGUUCGAGCGUCAUUUAGACCAACUCCCGCUCCGGCGGGGUCUUGGGCUGCGCCUUUGGGCGGGCCUUAAAACCAGUGGCGGUGCCCUAAGGCUCUACGCGUAGUAAUUCUUCUCGCGAUAGGGUCCUUGCGGUGUCUUGCCAGCAACCCCCAACUCUCUAGGGUUGACCUCGGAU